This 22459-nucleotide long non-coding RNA is filed under the name Triticum aestivum (bread wheat). RNAcentral describes it as "long non-coding RNA (TAES_LNC002074)". Lineage: Eukaryota; Viridiplantae; Streptophyta; Magnoliopsida; Poales; Poaceae. The record is from RNAcentral.
GAAGUACUUAGUGGUUGUGGAAGACUAUGAUCCAGGCAAGAGAAUCGAGGACUACGAUUUCAACGACAUCCCGAUCUGGGUGAGGAUAUUUAGCCUCCCUCUUGGCAUGAUGAAUGAGGAUUCAGCGGAGGAGAUAGGAAAUAUCAUUGGCCAAUUUGUGGAAGUAGACGCAGGAGCGGAUGGGAGGGCUAUUGGGAAGUUUCUGAGGGUUAAGGUUCGAAUGAACAUUGAGAAACCAGUGAUGAGAGGCUUCACAAUUGAUGAUGAAGAGGGUGGGGGUGCAAAUAAGCGAAAAAAGUAAAUGAGUAUAGAUGGGAGAGAGGAGGAGGAAGAGGAGGGAUUGUGGUGUCGUUUUGAGUAUGAAUUCCUACCGGACCUUUGCUACACCUGUGGAAUAAUAGGGCAUGUUGCAAAGGACUGUUCUAUCAAAGUGAAAAAAGGAGACAGAGCUGAGUUUGGCCCUUGGUUGAGAGCAGACAUUGGAAGAAGGAGGUUUGUAGGGGAGGACGAACGAAGUUGGAAGACGAGGGGGGAGGAGCCGGAGGGGGAAGCGGUAGCAGGAACUAUGGAUAGAGCCGCUCGGGGGGACGGGUUGGGAGUGGUAGUGGAAGCGACAGUCUGUCCUGGCGUAAGAGUGCUGGUCAGGAAUCGGGAGGCAAGGGUAGCAGGGGGAGGAGAAGAAGAGGUGACGAGCCCAGCUAAACUGAAGCAUACCAAAACGCCAUGAUAAGGAAACCCUAAGAAACUGGAUAUGGAUGGGGGUAUGGUGCAGAAUCAACAAGAGAAGAUUGAAUCCAACCAUGGGAAAGAAUUGGUGGUGCAGGAGCAGCGUAGGGCGAUGGAGGUGGUGCUUGUCGCCCCUGCGGGGGGCGGGGCUACGAAGGCAGAGAAGGGGGAUGAGGUGCAUGCAACAGGGACGGAGGCUAUUUCAGAAAAGGGAGUAGAAGCCGAUCUCGCAAAAAAUCAGAACCGCGGGACGUUUAAACAGAGGAAUGGUGGGGAGGAGAAGAGAAGGGUCUCUGCAGUGUGCAACAAGAAAAUUGCGGGUCAUAAGAGGAACCAGAUGGAGAUCAGUGAAGGCUUGGAGGGUGAAGCAAAGAAGGGAAAGAUUAUGGAGGUUGAGGGAGUUAGUACGGUGAUGACACAUGAAGAGGACGGGAACAAUACCACUGAACAGAUAUCGGCCGGGCUGCCCGAGCAGUCCCGCCGGAUGCAAUGAAAAUCGUUAGUUGGAACUGCCGGGGGUUGGGGAAUGGCCCGGCGGUUCGGUCUCUUCUCGAGUUGGGAAGAAUGGAGGACCCUGAUAUUUUGUUUUUCUCGAAGACGAGGUUGUAUGAGAAGGAGUUAGAGCACUUAAGGUGGAAAUUGGGGUUAGUGAAGGAAAUAUGCCCUAGAGGCAAUAAUAAAGUUAUUAUUUAUUUCCUUAUAUUCAUGAUAAAUGUUUAUUAUUCAUGCUAGAAUUGUAUUAACCGGAAACAUAAUACAUGUGUGAAUACAUAGACAAACAUAGUGUCACUAGUAUGCCUCUACUUGACUAGCUCGUUAAUCAAAGAUGGUUAUGUUUCCUAACCAUGAACAAUGAGUUGUUAUUUGAUUAACGAGGUCACAUCAUUAGUUGAAUGAUCUGAUUGACAUGACCCAUUCCAUUAGCUUAGCACCCGAUCGUUUAGUAUGUUGCUAUUGCUUUCUUCAUGACUUAUACAUGUUCCUAUGACUAUGAGAUUAUGCAACUCCCGUUUACCGGAGGAACACUUUGGGUACUACCAAACGUCACAACGUAACUGGGUGAUUAUAAAGGAGUACUACAGGUGUCUCCAAUGGUCGAUGUUGGGUUGGCGUAUUUCGAGAUUAGGAUUUGUCACUCCGAUUGUCGGAGAGGUAUCUCUGGGCCCUCUCGGUAAUACACAUCACAUAAGCCUUGCAAGCAUUACAACUAAUAUGUUAGUUGUGAGAUGAUGUAUUACGGAACGAGUAAAAGAGACUUGCCGGUAACGAGAUUGAACUAGGUAUUGGAUACCGACGAUCGAAUCUCGGGCAAGUAACAUACCGAUGACAAAGGGAACAACGUAUGUUGUUAUGCGGUCUGACCGAUAAAGAUCUUCGUAGAAUAUGUAGGAGCCAAUAUGGGCAUCCAGGUCCCGCUAUUGGUUAUUGACCGGAGACGUGUCUCGGUCAUGUCUACAUUGUUCUCGAACCCGUAGGGUCCGCACGCUUAAGGUUACGAUGACAGUUAUAUUAUGAGUUUAUGCAUUUUGAUGUACCGAAGGUUGUUCGGAGUCCCGGAUGCGAUCACGGACAUGACGAGGAGUCUCGAAAUGGUCGAGACAUAAAGAUUGAUAUAUUGGAAGUCUAUGUUUGGACAUCGGAAGUGUUCCAGGUGAAAUCGGGAUUUUACCGGGUUACCGGGAGGUUACCGGAACCCCCCGGGAACCAUAUGGGCCUUCAUGGGCCUUAGUGGAAAGGAGAAAGGGGUAGCCCAAGGGGGCUGCGCGCCUCCCCCCUUCCCCUAGUCCUAUUAGGACUAGGAGAGGUGGCCGGCCACCCCUCUCCCUCUUUCCCCCUUGGGAAUCCUAGUUGGAAUAGGAUUGGGGGGGGGGGAGUCCUACUCCCGGUAGGAGUAGGACUCCUCCUGCGCCCUCCUCCUUGGCCGGCGCCCCUCUCCCCCCUUGGCUCCUUUAUAUACUGAGGUAGAGGCACCCAAAGACACACAAGUUGACACAAGUUGAUCCUCGUGAUCGAUUCCUUAGCCGUGUGCGGUGCCCCCUGCCACCAUAUUCCUCGAUAAUACUGUAGCGGAGUUUAGGCGAAGCCCUGCUGCUGUAGUUCAUCAAGAUCGUCACCACGCCGUCGUGCUGACGAAACUCUUCCCCGACACUUUGCUGGAUCGGAGUCCGGGGAUCGUCAUCGAGCUGAACGUGUGCUCGAACUCGGAGGUGCCGUAGUUUCGGUGCUUGAUUGGUUGGAUCGUGAAGACGUACGACUACUUCCUCUACGUCGUGUCAUCGCUUCCGCAGUCGGUCUGCGUUGGGUACGUAGACAACACUCUCCUCUCGUUGCUAUACAUCACAUGAUCCUGCGUGCGCGUAGGAAAAUUUUUGAAAUUACUACGAAACCCAACAGUGGCAUCCGAGCCUAGGUUAUUGAUGUUGAUGUUAUAUGCACGAGUAGAACACAAGUGAGUUGUGGACGAUACAAGUCAUACUGCCUACCAGCAUGUCAUACUUUGGUUCGGCGGUAUUGUUGGACGAGACGACCCAGACCAACCUUACGCGUACGCUUACGCGAGACCGGUUCCCUCGACGUGCUUUGCACAGAGAUGGCUUGCGGGCGACUGUCUCUCCAACUUUAGUUGAACCAAGUAUGGCUACGCCCGGUCCUUGCGAAGGUUGAAACGGAGUCUAUUUGACAAACUAUCGUUGUGGUUUUGAUGCGUAGGUGAGAUUGGUUCUUACUUAAGCCCGUAGCAGCCACGUAAAACAUGCAACAACAAAGUAGAGGACGUCUAACUUGUUUUUGCAGGGCAUGUUGUGAUGUGAUAUGGUCAAGGCAUGAUGCUGAAUUUUAUUGUAUGAGAUGAUCAUGUUUUGUAACCAAGUUAUCGGCAACUGGCAGGAGCCAUAUGGUUGUCGCUUUAUUGUAUGCAAUGCAAUCGCGAUGUAAUGAUUUACUUUAUUACUAAACGGUAGUGAUAGUCGUGGAAGCAUAAGAUUGGCGAGACGACAAUGAUGCUACGAUGGAGAUCAAGGUGUCGCGCCGGUGACGAUGGUGAUCAUGACGGUGCUUCGGAGAUGGAGAUCACAGGCACAAGAUGAUGAUGGCCAUAUCAUAUCACUUAUAUUGAUUGCAUGUGAUGUUUAUCUUUUUAUGCAUCUUAUCUUGCUUUGAUUGACGGUAGCAUUAUAAGAUGAUCUCUCACUAAAUUAUCAAGAAGUGUUCUCCCUGAGUAUGCACCGUUGCCAAAGUUCGUCGUGCCCAGACACCACGUGAUGAUCGGGUGUGAUAAGCUCUACGUCCAUCUACAAUGGGUGCAAGCCAGUUUUGCACACGCAGAAUACUCAGGUUAAACUUGACGAGCCUAGCAUAUGCAGAUAUGGCCUCGGAACACGGAGACUGAAAGGUCGAGCGUGAAUCAUAUAGUAGAUAUGAUCAACAUAAUGAUGUUCACCAUUGAAACUACUCCAUCUCACGUGAUGAUCGGACAUGGUUUAGUUGAUUUGGAUCAUGUGAUCACUUAGAGGAUUAGAGGGAUGUCUGUCUAAGUGGGAGUUCUUAAGUAAUAUGAUUAAUUGAACUUAAAAUUUAUCAUGAACUUAGUCCUGGUAGUAUUUUGCAAAUUAUAGAUCAAUAGCUCGCGUUGUUGCUUCCCUGUGUUUUGAUAUGUUCCUAGAGAAAAUUGUAUUGAAAGAUGUUAGUAGCAAUGAUGCGGAUUGGAUCCGUGAUCUGAGGAUUAUCCUCAUUGCUGCACAGAAGAAUUAUGUCCUUGAUGCACCGCUAGGUGACAGACCUAUUGCAGGAGCAGAUACAAACGUUAUGAACAUUUAGCUAGCUCAAUAUGAUGACUACUUGAUAGUUUAAGUGCACCAUGCUUAACGGCUUAGAAUCGGGACUUCAAAGACGUUUUGAACGUCAUGGACCAUAUGAGAUGUUCCAGGAGUUGAAGUUAAUAUUUCAAGCAAAUACCCGAGUUGUGAGAUAUGAAGUCUCCAACAAGUUCUAUAGCUAAAAGAUGGAGGAGAAUCGCUCAACUAGUGAGCAUGUGCUUAGAUUGUCUGGGUACUACAAUCGCUUGAAUCAAGUGGGAGUUAAUCUUCCAGAUAAGAUAGUGAUUGACAGAAUUCUCUAGUCACCAUCACCAAGUUAGUAGAACUUCGUGAUGAACUAUAAUAUGCAAAGGGAUAACGAAAACAACUCCCAAGCUCUUCGUGAUGCUGAAAUCAACGAAGGUAGAAAUCAAGAAAAGUAUCAAGUGUUGAUGGUUGACAAGAUCACUAGUUUCAAGAAAAGGGCAGAGGGAAGAAGGGGAAACUUCAAGAAAAACAGCAAGCAAGUUGCUGCUCAAGUGAAGAAGCCCAAGUCUGGUCCUAAGCCUGAGACUAAGUGCUUCUACUGCAAAGGGACUGGUCACCGGAAACGGAAUCACCCCAAGUGAUUGGCGGAUAAGAAGGAUGGCAAAAGUGAACAUAAGUAUAUUUGAUAUACAUGUUAUCGAUGUGUACUUUACUAGUGUUUAUAGCAAACCCUAAGUAUUUGAUACUAGUUCAAUUGCUAAGAUUAGUAACUCGAAACGGGAGUUGCAGAAUAAACAGAGACUAGUUAAGGGUGAAGUGACGAUGUGUGUUGGAAGUGGUUCCAAGAUUGAUAUGAUCAUCAUCGCACACUCCCUAUACUUUCGGGAUUAGUGUUGAACCUGAAUAAGUGUUAUUCGGUGUUUGCGUUGAGCAUGAAUAUGAUUUGAUCAUGUUUAUUGUAAUACGGUUAUUCAUUUAAGUAAGAGAAUAAAUUGUUGUUCUGUUUACAUGAAUGAAACCUUAUAUGGUUACACACCCAAUGAAAAUAGUUCGUUGGAUCUCGAUCGUAGUGAUACACAUAAUCAUAAUAUUGAAACCAAAAGAUGCAAAGUUAAUAAUGAUAAGUGCAACUUGUUUGUAGCACUGCCGUUUAGGUCAUAUUGGUGUAAAGCGCAUGAAGAAACUCCAUACUGAUGGGCUUUUGGAAUCACUUGAUUAUGAAUCAGUUGAUGCUUGCGAACCAUGCCUCAUGGGCAAGAUGACUAAGACUCUGUUCUUCGGAACAAUGAAGCGAGCAAUAGAUUUGUUGGAAAUCAUACAUACUGAUGUAUGUGGUCCGAUGAAUAUUGAGGCUCGCGAUAGGUAUCAUUAUUUUCUGAUCUUCACAAGAUGAUUUGAGCAGAUAUGAGUAUAUCUACUUGAUGAAACAUAAGUCUGAAACAUUUUGAAAAGUUCAAAGAAUUUUAGAGUGAAGUGAAAAAUCAUCGUAACAAGAAAAUAAAGUUUCUACGAUCUGAUCGUAGAGAAGAGUAUUUGAGUUACGAGUUUGGCCUUCAGUUAAAAACAAUGUGAAAUAGUUUCACUACUCAUGCCACCUAGAACACCACAAUGUAAUGGUGUGUCCGAACGUCAUAACCGUACUUUAUUAGAUAUGGUGCGAUCUAUACCGAUCUACCACUAUCGUUUUGGGGUUAUGCAUUAGAGACAGCUGCAUUCACGUUAAAUAGGGCACCAUCUAAAUCCGUUGAGACGACACCGUGUGAAUUAUGGUUUGGCAAGAAACCUAAGCUGUCAUUUCUUAAAUUUGGGGUUGCGAUGCUUAUAUGAAAAAAUUUCAUCCUGAUAAGCUCAAACUCAAAUCGGAGAAGUGCGUCUUCAUAGGAUACCAAAAGGAGACAAUUGGGUACACCUUCUAUCACAGAUCCGAAGGCAAGACAUUCGUUGCUAAGAAUGGAUCAUUUCUAGAGAAGGAGUUUCUCUCGAAAGAAGUGAGUGGGAGGAAAGUAGAACUUGACGAGGUAACUGUACCUGCUCCCUUACUGGAAGUAGUUCAUCACAGAAAACUGUUUCAGUGACACCUACACCAGUUAGUGAGGAAGCCAAUGAUAAUGAUCAUGAAACUUCAGAUCAAGAUACUACUGAACCUCGUAGAUCAACCAGAGUAAGAUCCACACCAGAGUGGUACGGUAAUCCUGUUCUGGAAGUCAUGCUACUAGAUCAUGAUGAACCUACGAACUAUGAAGAAGCGACGGUGAGCCCAGAUUCCGCAAAGUGGCUUGAAGCCAUAAAAUCUGAGAUAUGAUCCAUGUAUGACAACAAAGUAUGGACUUUGAUUGACUUGCUCGAUGAUCAGCAAAGCCAUGUUAAAUAAAUGGAUCUUCAAGAGGAAGACGGACAAUGAUAGUAGUGUUACUAUCUACCAAGCUCGACUUGUUGCAAAAGUUUUUCAACAAGUUCAAGGUGUUGAAUACGAUGAGGUUUUCUCACUCGUAUCGAUGCUUAAGUCUAUCUGAAUCAUGUUAGCAAUUGCCACAUUUUAUGAAAUCUGGCAAAUGGAUGUCAAAACUGCAUUCCUUAAUGGAUUUAUUAAAGAAGAGUUGUAUAUGAUGCAACCAGAAGGUUUUGUCAAUCCUAAAGGUGCUAACAAAAUGUGCAAGCUCCAGCGAUCCAUCUAUGGACUGGUGCAAGCAUCUCGGAGUUGGAAUAUACGCUUUGAUAAGUUGAUCAAAGCAUAUAGUUUUAUAUGGACUUACGAUGAAGCCUGUAUUUACAAUAAAGUGAGUGGGAGCACUACAGCCUUUCUGAUUAGUAUAUGUGAGUGACAUAUUGUUGAUCAGAAAUGAUGUAGAAUUUUUCUGCAAAGCAUAAAGGAGUGUUUUAAAGGAGUUCUUUAAAAGGAAAAGACCUCAGUAAAAAGCUACUUAUAUAUUGAGCAUCAAAGAUCUAUUGAGAUAGAUCAAGACGCUUGAUAAGAUUUUCAAUGAAGUACAUACCUUGGCAAGAUUUUGAAAUAGUUCAAAAUGGAACAGUUAAAGAAAGAGUUCUUGCCUGUGUUGCAAAGGUAUGAAAUUGAGUAAGACUCAAAUCCCGACCACAGCAGAAAAUAGAAAGAGAAUGAAAAGUCAUUCCCUAUGCCUCAGUCAUAGGUUCUAUAAAGUAUGCUAUGCUUUGUACCAGACCUAUUGUAUACCUUGCUCUGUAUUUUGCAAGGGAGUACAAUAGUGAUCUAGGAGUAGAUCACUGGACAUUGGUCAAGAAUAUCCUUAGUAAGGACUAAGGAGAUGUUUCUCGAUUAUGGAGGUGAUAAAAGAGUUUGUUGUAAAAGUUACAUCAGUGCAAACUUUUACACUGAUCCAGAUGACUCUAAGUCUCAAUCUGGAUACAUAUUGAAAGUGGGAGCGAUUAGCUAGAGUAGCUCCGUACAGAGCAUUGUAGACAUAGAAUAUUUGCAAAAUACAUACGGCUCUGAAUGUGACAGACCCGUUGACUAAGCUUCUCUCACGAGCAAAACAUGAUCACACCUUAGUACUCUUUGGAUGUUAAUCACAUAGCGAUGUGAACUAGAUUAUUGACUCUAGUAAACCCUUUGGGUGUUGGUCACAUGAUGAUGUGAACUAUAGGUGUUAAUCAUAUACAGAUAUGAAUAUUGGUGUUAAAUCACAUGACGAUGUGAACUAGAUUAUUGACUCUAGUGAAAGUGGGAGACUGAAAGGAAAUAUGCCCUAGAGGCAAUAAUAAAGUUAUUAUUUAUUUCCUUAUAUUCAUGAUAAAUGUUUAUUAUUCAUGCUAGAAUUGUAUUAACCGGAAACAUAAUACAUGUGUGAAUACAUAGACAAACAUAGUGUCACUAGUAUGCCUCUACUUGACUAGCUCGUUAAUCAAAGAUGGUUAUGUUUCCUAACCAUGAACAAUGAGUUGUUAUUUGAUUAACAAGGUCACAUCAUUAGUUGAAUGAUCUGAUUGACAUGACCCAUUCCAUUAGCUUAGCACCCGAUCGUUUAGUAUGUUGCUAUUGCUUUCUUCAUGACUUAUACAUGUUCCUAUGACUAUGAGAUUAUGCAACUCCCAUUUACCGGAGGAACACUUUGGGUACUACCAAACGUCACAACGUAACUGGGUGAUUAUAAAGGAGUACUACAGGUGUCUCCAAUGGUCGAUGUUGGGUUGGCGUAUUUCGAGAUUAGGAUUUGUCACUCCGAUUGUCGGAGAGGUAUCUCUGGGCCCUCUCGGUAAUACACAUCACAUAAGCCUUGCAAGCAUUACAACUAAUAUGUUAGUUGUGAGAUGAUGUAUUACGGAACGAGUAAAGAGACUUGCCGGUAACAAGAUUGAACUAGGUAUUGGAUACCGACGAUCGAAUCUCGGGCAAGUAACAUACCGAUGACAAAGGGAACAACAUAUGUUGUUAUGCGGUCUGACCGAUAAAGAUCUUCGUAGAAUAUGUAGGAGCCAAUAUGGGCAUCCAGGUCCCGCUAUUGGUUAUUGACCGGAGACGUGUCUCGGUCAUGUCUACAUUGUUCUCGAACCCGUAGGGUCCGCACGCUUAAGGUUACGAUGACAGUUAUAUUAUGAGUUUAUGCAUUUUGAUGUACCGAAGGUUGUUCGGAGUCCCGGAUGCGAUCACGGACAUGACGAGGAGUCUCGAAAUGGUCGAGACAUAAAGAUUGAUAUAUUGGAAGUCUAUGUUUGGACAUCGGAAGUGUUCCAGGUGAAAUCGGGAUUUUACCGGGUUACCGGGAGGUUACCGGAACCCCCCGGGAACCAUAUGGGCCUUCAUGGGCCUUAGUGGAAAGGAGAAAGGGGUAGCCCAAGGGGGCUGCGCGCCUCCCCCCUUCCCCUAGUCCUAUUAGGACUAGGAGAGGUGGCCGGCCACCCCUCUCCCUCUUUCCCCCUUGGGAAUCCUAGUUGGAAUAGGAUUGGGGGGGGAGUCCUACUCCCGGUAGGAGUAGGACUCCUCCUGCGCCCUCCUCCUUAGCCGGCACCCCUCUCCCCCCUUGGCUCCUUUAUAUACUGAGGUAGAGGCACCCAAAGACACACAAGUUGACACAAGUUGAUCCUCGUGAUCGAUUCCUUAGCCGUGUGCGGUGCCCCCUGCCACCAUAUUCCUCGAUAAUACUGUAGCGGAGUUUAGGCGAAGCCCUGCUGCUGUAGUUCAUCAAGAUCGUCACCACGCCGUCGUGCUGACGAAACUCUUCCCCGACACUUUGCUGGAUCGGAGUCCGGGGAUCGUCAUCGAGCUGAACGUGUGCUCGAACUCGGAGGUGCCGUAGUUUCGGUGCUUGAUCGGUUGGAUCGUGAAGACGUACAACUACUUCCUCUACGUCGUGUCAUCGCUUCCGCAGUCGGUCUGCGUUGGGUACGUAGACAACACUCUCCUCUCGUUGCUAUACAUCACAUGAUCCUGUGUGCGCGUAGGAAAUUUUUUGAAAUUACUACGAAACCCAACAGUUAGUCAAUAUGUCAGUUUGGAACCCGGAGGGAAGGAGUAGAGGGAUAGCCCUGUUCUGGAGAAGGGGGGUGGAGAUUUCUUUUAGAUCAUAUGGGAGGAGGUAUGUAGAUGUGGAUGUGAAGGAAGGGGAUGAUCCGGUUUGGAGCCUCACUGGUAUGUACGGAGAGUCGGCCAAUGGUAGGAAAAAAGAGACGUGGAGAACACUCAAAAUCCUCAAACAACAGCACCAGCAGGGACGACCGUGGUUGCGUGUGGGUGACUUCAAUGAAAUUCUGUUGGAGGUAGAGAAGGUAGGAGGAGCUCCAAGAGCGCAGCACAUGAUGGACGGGUUCCGUGAUGCAUUGGCAAUGUGUGAGAUGGCUGAUCUUGGUUUUGAGGGAGAUGUAUUCACAUGGAGGAACCACAGCAAAGAUGUUAACACAUACAUAUGCGAGAGUCUUGACAGGGCCGUCGGUAAUGAAGAGUGGAGGACACAAUUCCCGAACUAUGCAGUGAUUAAUGGUAUCCCCCGGCACUCGGAUCACAGACCCGUCAUUGUGCAGACACAAGGGGAGAGUAAGAGAUGGAUGAAUGGAGAUCGUGGCUUUAGAUUUGAAGCACGAUGGCUAUAAGAGGAGGGAUGUGAGGAUGUCAUUCGGGAGGCGUGGGAGGGGAGCUGGGCAGAAAGAGGGGAGGGCGUGGCGAAUGCUCUAAAAUCGGUGGCGGAGACGAUGCGGGUGUGGGACAAGAAUGUGGUCGGGGAGCUAGAGGGAAGGCUAAAAAAGCGAAAGCCGAACUUGAGAGGUGCAUGCUGAUACGUCUCCAAUGUAUCUAUAAUUUUUUAUUGUUCCAUGCUAUUAUAUUACCCGUUUUGGAUGUUUAUGGGCUUUAUUAUACACUUUUAUAUUAUUUUGGGACUAACCUAUUAACCGGAGGCCCAACCCAAAUUGUUGUUUUCUUGCCUAUUUCAGUGUUUCGAAGAAAAGGAAUAUCAAACGGAGUCCAAACGGAAUGAAACCUUCGGGAGAGUUAUUUUUGGAACGGAAGUAAUCCAGGAGACUUGGAGUAGACGUUAGGGAAGCUUCGAGGAAGCCACGAGCGUCCAGGGCUCGCCCUACCCCCUGGGUGCGCCCCCCCAUCCUUGUGGGCCCCUUGUGGCUCCCCUGACCGACUUCUUUUACCUAUAUAUAUCCAUAUACCCCGAAAACAUCCCGGAGCACAAUAGAUAGGGAGUUCCGCCACCGCAAGCCUCUGUAGCCACCAAAAACCAAUCGGGACCCUGUUCCGGCACCCUGCCGGAGGGGUGAUCCCUCACCGGUGGCCAUCUUCAUCAUCCCGACGCUCUCCAUGACGAGGAGGGAGUAGUUCACCCUCGGGGCUGAGGGUAUAUACCAGUAGCUAUGUGUUUGAUCUCUCUCUCGUGUUCUUGAGGUGAUACGAUCUUGAUGUAUCAUGAGCUUUGUUAUUAUAGUUGGAUCUUAUGAUGUUUCUCCCCCUCUACUCUCUUGUUAUGAAUUGAGUCUUCCCCUUGAAGUUGUCUUGUCGGAUUGAGUCUUUAAGGAUUUGAGAACACUUGAUGUAUGUCUUGUCGUGCUUAUUUGUGGUGACAAUGGGAUAUUCACGUAAUCUACUUGAUAUAUGUUUUGGUGAUCAACUUGUGGGUUCAAUGAACUUAUGCAUUGGGGUUGGCACACGUUUUUGUCUUGACUCUCUCGUAGAAACUUUGGGGCACUCUUUGAAGUACUUUGUGUUGGUUGAAUAGAUGAAUCUGAGAUUGUGUGAUGCAUAUCGUAUAAUCAUGCCCACGAAUACUUGAGGUGACAUUGGAGUAUCUAGGUGACAUUAGGGUUUUGGUUGAUUUGUGUCUUAAGGUGUUAUUCUAGUACGAACUCUAUGAUAGAUCGAACGGAAAGAAUAGCUUCGUGUUAUUUUACUACGGACUCUUGAAUAGAUCGAUCAGAAAGGAUAACUUUGAGGUGGUUUUGUACCCUACAAUAAUCUCUUUGUUUGUUCUUCGCUAUUAGUGACUUUGGAGUGACUCUUUGUUGCAUGUUGAGGGAUAGUUAUAUGAUCCAGUUAUGUUAUUAUUGUUGAGAGAACUUGCACUAGUGAAAGUAUGAACCUUAGGCCUUGUUUCCUAGCAUUUGCAAUACCGUUUACGCUCACUUUUACCACUUGCUGCCUUGCUGUUUUUAUAUUUUCAGAUUACAAAAACCUAUAUCUACCAUCCAUAUUGCACGUGUAUCACCAUCUCUUUGCCGAACUAGUGCACCUAUACAAUUUACCAUUGUAUUGGGUGUGUUGGGGACACAAGAGACUCUUUGUUAUUUGGUUGCAGGGUUGUUUGAGAGAGACCAUCUUCAUCCUAUGCCUCCCACGGAUUUAUAAACCUUAGGUCAUCCACUUGAGGAAAAUUUGCUACUAUCCUACAAACCUCUGCACUUGGAGGUCCAACAACGUCUACAAGAAGAAGGUUGUGUAAUAGGCAUCAAGCUCUUUUCUGGCACCGUUGCCGGGGAGGUGAGUGCUUGAAGGUAUAUCUUUAGAUCUUGCAAUCGAAUCUUUUAGUUUUUUGUUUUAUCAUUAGUUUAGUUUAUAAAAUAAAACUACAAAAAAAGAAAUUGAGUUUUCCUCUUGCGCUUCAUCUUUUUAAUAUCUUUCGUGAGAAUGAUGGAAAGGAAAUUUGUGCUCAAGUGCUAGAAGAAGAAGUCUAUAAAAUGUUUGGCACUAAAUCUUUAAAUGAUGAGCAUGAUUGCAAUGUUGUUAGUAUGAAUUCUUUGAAUACCCAUGAUGCUAAUGAUAUGCAAAGCCACAAGCUUAGGGAUGCUAUGUUUGAUGAAGAUGAUAUGUUUAGUCCCCCAAGUUUUGAUGAGAAUAUUUAUUAUGAUGAAGCAUGCCUCCUAUUUAUGAUGAUUAUAUUGAUAAAAGUGGGUUUGGAAGAGUGUCAACUUUAGGAAGUAAUGAUCCCACUAUUUUGGAGGAUGUUGAAUAUUAUUGUGAUAAUUAUGAAAGUGGAUUUGGAGAGGUCAUGACUUUAUUUAAUGAUGAAGCCACUAUUUCGGAAGAGGUUCCAAUUGAUUAUGAGAACAAAGUUGCUAUAUAUGAUGAUUAUUGUGAUGACUUGUAUGCUAUUAAGAAUAAUGAUAACCAUGAAACUUGUCAUCAUGAUUUUAGUUUUCAAUUGGAUUAUGCCUCACAUGAUAAUUAUUUUGUUGAGUUUGCUCCCACUACUAUUCAUGAGAAAAAUUUGCUUAUGUGGAGAGUAGUAAAUUUUCUAUGCAAGUAGAUCAUGAAAAGAAUGCUUUAUGUGCUGGUUAUAUUGUUGAAUUUGUUCAUGAUUCUACUGAAAAUUAUUAUGAGGGAGGAACAUAUGCUUGUAGGAAUUGCAAUAAUAUCAAGUUCCCUCUCUAUGUGCUUAAAAUCUUGAAGUUAUGCUUGUUUUGCCUUUCUAUGCUAGUUGAUUAUUGUUCCCAUAAGUUGUUUGCUCACAAAAUUCCUAUGCAUAAGAAGUGGGUUAGACUUAAAUGUGCUAGUCAUAUUCUUCAUGAUGCUCUCUUUAUGUUUCAGUUCUUAUCUUUUGUGUGAGCAUCAUUGAAAUCAUCAUGCCUAGCUAGGGGCAUUAAACGUUAGCGCUUGUUGGGAGGCAACCCAAUUUUACUUUGUUAUUUUUUUGCUCCUGUUUAGCAAUAAAUAAUUCAUCUAGCCUCUGGUUAGAUGUGGUUUUAUGUUUUUAAUUAGUGUUUGUGCCAAAUAGAACCUUUGGAAAGACUUGGGUGAAGUCUUUAUGAUCUUGCUGUGAAAAACAGAAACUUUAGCGCUCACGAGAUUAGCUACCAGUUUUUACUGGAGAGCGAUUUUAGGUUGAUUCUUUUUGCAGAUGAUUAAUAGACAAAUUCCUCAGGUCCACCAAUUUAUUUCAGAAUUUUUGAAGUUAAAUAAGUAUUCGGAUGGUACAGAUUACUACAAACUGUUCUGUUUUUGACAGAUUCUGUUUUCUAUGUGUUGUUUGCUUAUUUUGAUGAAUCUAUGAGUAGUAUCGGAGGGUAUGAACCAUAGGGAAGUUGGAAUACAGUAGAUACUACACCAAUAUGAAUUUAGAAUGAGUCCACAACAGUACCUAAGUGGUGCUUUUAUUUUCUUAUACUAACAGAGCUUACGAGUUUUCUGUUGAGUUUUGUAUUGUGAAGUUUUCAAGUUUUGGGUAAAGAUUCGAUGGACUAUGGAAUAAGGAGUGACAAGAGCCUAAGCUUGGGGAUGCCCAAGGCACCCCAAGGUAAUAUUCAAGGACAACCAAGAGCCUAAGCUUGGGGAUGCCCCGGAAGGCAUCCCCUCUUUCGUCUUCGUCUAUCGGUAACUUUACUUGGAGCUAUAUUUUUAUUCACCACAUGAUAUGUCAUUUGCUUGGAGCGUCUUGUAUGAUAUGAGUCUUUGUUUUUUAGUUUACCACAAUCAUCCUUGCUGUACACACCUUUUGGGAGAGACACACAUGAUUCUGAGUUUAUUAGAAUACUCUAUGUGCUUCACUUAUAUCUUUUGAGCUAGACAGUUUUGCUCUAGUACUUCACUUAUAUAUUUUUAGAGCACAGCGGUGGCUUAAUUUUGUAGAAAUUAUUGAUCUCUCAUGCUUCACUUAUAUUAUUUUGAGAGUAUUUUAGAACAUCAUGGUAUUUUCUAUGGUUAUAAAAUUGGUCCUAGAAUGAUUGGGCAUCCAAGUUGGGUAUAAUAAAAACGAUCAUAGAAAGUGCAUUGAAUACUAUGAUCAAUUUGAUGCUUGAUAAUUGUUUUGAGAUAUAAAGGUGGUAAUGUUAGAGUCAUGCUAGUUGGGUAAUUAUGAAAUUGAGAAAUACUUGUGUUGAAGUUGGCAAGUCCCGUAGCAUGCACGUAUGGUAAAAGUUGUGUAACAAAUUUGUAGCAUGGGGUGCUCUUUUGAUUGCCUUCCUUACGAGUGGAGGUCGGGAUCGCGCGAUGGUUAACUCCUACCAACCCUUACCCUAGGAGCAUGCAUAGUAGUACUUUGCUUCGAGGGCUAGUAAACUUUUGCAAUAAGUAUAUGCGUUCUUUAAGACUAAUGUGAGUCCAUGGAUUAUACGCACUCUCACCCUUCCACCAUUCCUAGCCUCUAUUAUGCCGCGCAACUUUCGCCGGUAUCAUGCACCCACCAUUUACCUUCCUCAAAACAGCCAUCAUACCUACCUAUUAUGGCAUUUCCAUAGCCAUUCCAAGAUACAUUUCCAUGCAACUCUCCAUCGUUCCGUUUACUAUGACACGCUCAAUCAUUGUCAUAUUGCUCUUGCAUGAUCAUGUAGUUGACAUCGUAUUUGUGGCAAGGCCACCUCCAAAAAUUUUCAUACAUGUCGCUCUUGGUUCAUUGCAUAUCCCGGUACACCGUCGGAGGCAUUCACAUAGAGUCCUAUUUUGUUCUAAGUAUUGAGUUGUAAUUCUUGAGUUGUAAAUCAAUAAAAGUGUGAUGAUCUUCAUUAGUAGAGCAUUGUCCCAAGUGAGGAAAGGAUGAUGGAGACUAUGAUUCCCCCACAAGUCGGGAUGAGACUCCGGACUUUAUAAAAAUAAAAGAGGCCAAAGAAGCCCAAAUAAAAAAAGAGGCCAAAGAAGCCCACAUAAAAAAUGAGAGAAAAAGAGACAAGGGACAAUGUUACUAUCCUUUUCCACACUUGUGCUUCAAAGUAGCGCCAUGAACUUCAUGAUAGAGAGUCCCUAUGUUGUCACUUUCAUAUAAUAGUGGGAAUUUUUCCUUAUAGAACUUGGCUUGUAUAUUCCAAUGAUGGGCUUCCUCAAAAUGCCCUAGGUCUCGUGAUCAAGCGAGUUGGAUGCACACCCACUUAGUUUCUUUUGUUGAGCUUUCAUACAUUUAUAGCUCUAGUGCAUCCGUUGCAUGGCAAUCCCUACUCACUCACAUUGAUAUCUAUUAAUGGGCAUCUCCAUAGCCCGUUGAUACGCCUAGUUGAUGUGACACUAUCUUCUCCCUUUUUGUCUUCACAACCACCACUCUAUUCCACAUAUAGUGCUAUGUUCAUGGCUUGCGCUCAUGUAUUGCGUGAGAGUUGAAAAAGUUGAAGCGCGUUAAAAAGUAUGAACCAAUUGCUUGGCUGAAACCGGGGUUGUGCAUGAUGGGAGUAUUUUGUGUGAUGAAAAUGAAGCAUAGCCUAACUAUAUGAUUUUGUAGGGAUGAGCUUUCUUUGGCUAUGCUAUUUUGAUAAGACAUGACUACUUGUUAGUAUGCUUGAAGUAUUACAAUUUUUGUGUUUAUAUGAACUUUUAUCUUGAAUCAUUUGGAUCUGAACAUUCAUGCCACAAUAAAGAACAUUACAUUGAGAAUUAUGCUAGGUAGCAUUCCACAUCAAAAAUUCUGUUUUUAUCAUUUACCUACUCGAGGGCGAGAAGGAAUUAAGCUUGGGGAUGCUUAAUAAGUCUCCAACAUAUAUAUAAUUUUUGAUUGUUCCAUGCUAUAUAUUACCCGUUUUGGAUGUUUAUGGGCUUUAUUAUACACUUUUAUAUUAUUUUUUGAACUAACCUAUUAACCGGAGGUCCAGCCCAAAUUGCUGUUUUCUUACCUAUUUCAGUGUUUCAAAGAAAAUGAAUAUCAAACGGAGUCCAAAUGGAAUCAAACCUUCGGGAGAGUUAUUUUUGGAACGGAAGCAAUCCAGGAGACUUGGAGUAAACGUCAGGGAAGCUUCGAGGAAGCCACGAGGGUCCAGGGCGCGCCCUACCCCCCUGGGCGCACCCCCACCCUCGUGGGCCCCUCGUGCCUCCCCUGACCGACUUCUUUCACCUAUAUAUAUCCAUAUACCCUGAAAACAUCCCGGAGCACAAUAGAUCAGGAGUUCCGCCGCCGCAAGCCUCUAUAGCCACCGAAAACCAAUCGAGACCCUGUUCCGGCACCCUGUCGGAGGGGGGAUCCCUCACCGGUGGCCAUAUUCAUCAUCCUGGCGCUCUCCAUGACGAGGAGGGAGUAGUUCACCCUCGAGGCUGAGGGUAUGUACCAGUAGCUAUGUGUUUGAUCUCUCUCCCUGUCUCGUGUUCUUGAGGUGAUACGAUCUUGAUGUAUCGCGAGCUUUGUUAUUAUAGUUGGAUCUUAUGAUGUUUCUCCCCCUCUACUCUCUUGUGAUGAAUUGAGUUUUUCCCCUUGAAGUUGUCUUGUCGUAUUGAGUCUUUAAGGAUUUAAGAACACUUGAUGUAUGGCUUGUCGUGCUUAUCUAUGGUGACAAUGGGAUAUUCACGUAAUCUACUUGAUGUAUGUUUUGGUGAUCAACUUGUGGGUUCAAUGAACUUAUGCAUAGGGGAUGGCACACGUUUUUGUCUUGACUCUCGGUAGAAACUUUGGGGCACUCUUUGAAGUACUUUGUGUUGGUUGAAUAUAUGAAUCUGAGAUUGUGUGAUGCAUAUCGUAUAAUCAUGCCCACGGAUACUUGAGGUGACAUUGGAGUAUCUAGGUGACAUUAGGGUUUUGGUUGAUUUGUGUCUUAAGGUGUUAUUCUAGUACGAACUCUAUGAUAGAUCGAACGGAAAGAAUACCUUCGUGUUAUUUUACUACGGACUCUUGAAUAGAUCGAUCAGAAAGGAUAACUCUGAGGUGGUUUCAUACCCUACAAUAAUCUCUUCAUUUGUUCUCUACUAUUAGUGACUUUGGAGUGACUCUUUGUUGCAUGUUGAGGGAUAGUUAUAUGAUCCAGUUAUGUUAUUAUUGUUGAGAGAACUUGCACUAGUGAAAGUAUGAACCUUAGUCCUUGUUUCCUAGCAUUGCAAUACCGUUUACGCUCACUUUUACCACUUGCUACCUUGCUGUUUUUAUUUUUAGAUUACAAAAACCUAUAUCUACCAUCCAUAUUGCACUUGUAUCACCAUCUCUUUGCCGAACUAGUGCACCUAUACAAUUUACCAUUGUAUUGGGUGUGUUGGGGACACAAGAGACUCUUUGUUAUUUGGUUGCAGGGUUGUUUAAGAGAGACCAUCUUCAUCCUAUGCCUCCCACGGAUUGAUAAACCUUAGGUCAUCCACUUGAGGGAAAUUUGCUACUGUCCUACAAACCUUUGCACUUGGAGGCCCAACAACGUCUACAAGGAGAAGGUUGUGUAGUAGACAUCACAUGCUUUCCAGUGUAUCCCAAGAAAAAAUUAUAGAGGAGGCAAGAUUGAGGUGCUUGGUGGAGGAGUUGGAGGAGAAGAAGAACACCAUGUGGAAGCAACGGGCGCAUGUCUGGUGGUUGGUAGAUGGCGAUCAGAACACACGAUAUUUCCACCUUGUGGCGUCAGGAAGGAAGAAAGCCAAUUGUAUCAAAGAGUUGAGGAGGGAGGAUGGUUCGAUGGUGGAGGAAGGAGAUUUGACUAAUUAUGUCUUUUCUCUACAUCAGCAGGGGACCGGGCCCAUGAGCUGAUCGCAACGGUCAUCCCCCGCAUAACACCAACCAUGCGUGCCACCCUCGAUGCAGAGUACACCAAAGAAGAGGUCAAUGUAGCACUAGAUCACAUUGACGAUCUCAAAGCCCCGGGCCCGGAUGGCAUGCCCUCCAUGGUCUUCAAGCGACAUUGGCCUUUCAUGGGUGACCAUGUGGUUGAUGAGGUUCUUAGAGUACUGAAUGGUGGUGACAUGCCCGCGUGAUGGAAUGAUACACUAGUGGAUCUUAUACCUAAGGUGAUGGAUCCCUCCAGAAUCAAGGAUUUGCGACCGAUCAGCCUAUGCAACGUAACAUACAAGCUUAUCUCUAAUGUCAUUGCAAACCAGUUGAAGGUGGUGUUCCCGGACAUAAUUUCUGAAAACCAGAGUGCUUUCGUACCGGGCCGGCUCAUAACAGAUAACGUACUAAUAGCAUAUGAGAUCUCGCAUUUGCUAAGGAACAAGAGGACUGGGCAGGAAGGGGUGACAGCGGUGAAGGCCGACAUGAGUAAGGCGUAUGAUAGAGUGAAGUGGAACUUCCUCCAAGCAAUGUUGACUAAACUGGGCUUCAGUCAUCUGUGGAUUAACCUUGUCAUGAAAUGUGUACGAACGGCGCGUUACCAAAUCAAGGUCAACGGAAUCCUGACUGACCAGUUCUGCCCGUCCCGUGGCUUGCAACAAGGGGAUCCAUUGUCGCCCUACCUUUUCGUCAUUUGUGCGGAGGGUGUAUCUGCAUUGCUGCAUGAGGCCGAGGGAGCUGGAAGGAUUUCGGGCAUCAAGAUCUGCGAAGCUGCACCGAGCAUCUCACAUUUGUUCUUUUCCGAUGACUCAAUGAUCAUGCUCAAGGCAAACCAGGAGGAAGUGCUCGCUCUUAGAGAGAUUCUGGACUUGUACGAAAACUGUUCUGGACAAUGCAUCAACAUAGAGAAAUCAACCCUCAUGUUCUCACAGAACACCUUGGAACAAUCAAAGAACGAGGUCAAGGCAACCCUUGGCAUUGUUAGUGAGAACUGGAACGAAAGGUAUCUCAGAUUACCAGUGCAUGUGGGUAGAUCAUGAAGGAAGGUUUUCGGGUACAUCAAAAAGAGCCUUUGUGGGUGCAUGAAUGGUUGGCAAGAACGGCUUCUGGCCAAAACUAGCAAAGAAACUUUGGUCAAGGCCGUUGGUCAGGCAAUACCGACUUUCGCUAUGUCGUGCUUCGACUUGACCAAAGGUUUCUGCAAGGAACUGGACACUUUAAUGGGCAAAUUCUGGUGGAGUCAGCAGGAUAAGGAGAACACGAUGCAUUGGAUCAGUUGGGAGACUUUGACGUGACCUAAGGCAAUGGGAGGCUAGGAUUCCGAAAUAUGCAUGAUUUCAACAUCGCAAUGCUCUCAAGACAAGGGUGGUGCUUCUUGCAGGACCCGGAGAGCCUGUGUGCACGUAUCUUGAAGGCACGCUACUUUCCUCAUUGCUCUAUACUGGAAGCCGAGGCGAAGGAGGAUAUUUCCUACUCUUGGAGGAGUAUAUUGCAUGGCCUAGAGCUGGUUAAGCAAGGGUAUAUAUGGCACAUUGGGGAUGGUAGCCAAGUUAAGAUAUGGCCGGAUCCAUGGAUUCCUAGGGCAUGGUCGAGACAAGUUAUCACCCCCAAGGGUCAGAAUAUCCUAACAUAUGUGAGUGAACUCAUAUGCCCCGUUACUAGUACUUGGGAUGCACAGCUGGUGCAUGAUUCCUUCUGGCCAGAUGAUGCCCAAUGCAUUCUGCAAAUCCCCCUUCAAGAAGGAGUAAGUGAUUUCAUUGCAUGGCACUAUGACACCAAGGGACACCAUUCGGUUCGGAAUGCAUACAAGCUGCAGGCACAACUUGCAAAGAAGGGUAGCACGAAUAAAGCUGGGAGUAGUACCACGAUCGCUGGCAACUUCAACAGUUGUGAUGAUCAGUCCUGGAAACGUCUUUGGAAACUCCCUUGCCCACGGAAAAUCCAAAUGUUCGCUUGGAGGAUGAAGCACGAGUCACUGGCCUUAAGACCAAUCUAACCAGGAGGGGAAUGAAGCUUGACAACACAAAAUGUCUGUUCUGCGGAUGCGCUGAUGAGGAUGGGGCUCAUCUCUUCAUCAAAUGCAAACAUGUGAAGCUAGUGUGGAGGGCACCCGAGUUCAAAAAGGAGAGGAAUGAGCUCAAGAACAUCACGUCCGUGCAUGCAAUGAUGGACUAUCUGUGGGGGCUCAAUGAAAAAGUGCGGGUGCAGAUACUUACCAUGUGGUGGCACUGGUGGAAUAACCGCAACAAGCUCAGGGAAGGAGAGAUGGGUGUACCUUGCGAAGAACUAGCACGAUGUGUACUGUCAAAUUCGCUAGAAUAUAUGCAACUAUUCGGGAAAAGAGUGAAGAAGAAAGAUAAUCUGAAUGGCGGCCCCCGAGCAAUGGUAUGCUCAAGAUAAAAUUGGACGGUGCCUUCAAACCGAGCGACACCUUUGCCACCUUGGGAGUGGUGGCCCGGGAUGAGACUGGAGAUGUGAUCACUGCCCGUGAAGGCAAAACGGAGCAGGUGGCAAAUCCGUUUGGUGCUGAGGUAGUAGCACUGAGAGAAGCCAUCAACACGGUUGCGGACCUCGGGGCACUGUGUUUGGUGUUCGAGACCGACUCAAAACUUCUUCAGGAAGCCAUGAACCUGAGUAGGGUCGACUCAUCACCAUAUGCAUCACUUAUUGAAGACUCCAAGCUCCAACUAAAGUUGUGGUUCUCGAAACAGCAAGUGCAGUUGUAUCGUAGGGAGGCCAAUUCAGUCGCGCAUGAACUUGCCCAAGUUGGGCGUGAGUGUAUGUCUAAUAAUUGUAUCGUGUGGAACAAUGAUGUACCGCCCCGAGUGGCGAUCUGUGUCUCCGGUGAUUUGGCCGAGCACCGUUAAGUUAUAAAGCUUUGCUUUUCCUCAAAAAAGGAAUAAUGUUUCACGGCGGCGAUGUCCCUUAAUACGAAUAAUGUCUCACUCAUCCUGGUUAAGUCUUCACCUUGCUUAUUUUCUUUCUAAAAACGGUUUUUCCUAGCUGGGGCUACACGGCACCUCUUAUCUCAGCCUUUCAAGCAUGCCCGUGUUCAUAGAGAUAUGUGCACACAGCAGUUGGCACCAGACGCUUAAACCUUAAUCGUGUGCCACGAAAUCCACUAUUCACGACAUGACUUGACGUGCCCAGCUACCGCUGUCUUGGCCCGCUCACCGCUUUAUUCCCCCAAUCGAGGCCUUUACUCUCGUGCUUUCCAUCAGAUAGCUCUCUGGGUUCUUCCACCCUCCUCUUCCCUUCCGCCAUGAACGAGGACACAUCCGGCAUGGUUUUGGAUCUCGAAGAUCCUGCUAGUCGCUACAAUAGACCGGGGGAAAUCACUACCGCCGGGGCGGAGCAGAGAAUCCACUGCUGGAGGUUCUGAAAAGGAGGCGGGGGCAGGUCUUGGGCGCUCAUCGGCACUGUCAGCCGGGGCGGAGCAGAGCAACCCGGGCGCAGGAGGUGCUGAAAAGGAGGCAUCGGCCGGUCUUGGGAGCUCAUCGGCACUCUCGGUCGUGUGCAUCUCGGCCGGAAAUUCCAGGUUCGUUCCAAUCCCAAUCUACCAAAAUUCAUUUUUCCCAAUCUCUGUUUUGGAUUAGUGUUAUCUCCUCCUACAGCUUGUAUCAGAUCUGGUAUUCUGCUGUCCUAAAAAUCCCCUUGCGUUUUGAUUUUCCAGUAACGAAGCCCCCGUUCCCCUUCUGAGUCGGAAUCCGUUGAUCCGGAAAGACUUGCCUGGUGGUUAUGAGUAAAACAAAUUUUCUAGCUAUAUAUGCUAAUGAAUUGGUCAAAGUGUAUAGAUGUAUAUGUAGGUUUUGUACCUUUGUUGGGCUGUGCUCACUAUGUAUCAGAAUUAAUUGUAGGUUCCUAAACCAUUUAACUCAAUAGCCUUUCCAUUGCCAAUUUGCUGUGCAGCAUGUUGUAAAAUAUAAGUUGUAUAAUUUAAAUCCUUCAGUCUUCUACAUUUUCAUAAUCUGUUCCAUAUUGCAUACUAUACAUGUACCUAGUAUGAUUAAAAUGCUGCCAAGUAUAUCUUGUGACAUUCGUUUCUUAAUUUGGUAUAUGGACUUCGGUAGCAUGUACGUGGUACAUGUAUUAAAAUUGUCCAGACUCAAAAAAUCA